Long non-coding RNA from Branchiostoma floridae (Florida lancelet), 2372 nucleotides. RefSeq lists it as uncharacterized. The record is from RefSeq and is a predicted model, not a curated record. The transcript is spliced from 3 exons. Lineage: Eukaryota; Metazoa; Chordata; Leptocardii; Amphioxiformes; Branchiostomatidae.
UAAAACUUUUCUUCACACCAAAGCAGUAUAUACAGUGUACAUAUAAUCAGGGAAAUCCUCUUCAUUCUUGGUACAGCUGGGAAGAUCCCCUGGCCGUCUGUCGUCAUCCACAUAACGCAGCCUGAUUGGUCCAGUCGCGUCUUGUUUUCCUGCCAUGCGACGGCUUGCUGGUUUUGGUUAAUGACCCCCUCCCCUCCCUAGGGCGGCGGCAAUAGUAGGGUCGGCCGCUAGGGGCGCGAUUUUAGUCAGGCUAGCUCUUUGAUAAGGUCUUUGAUUCGGACUCAAAAGGUGGUGGGAUUUCAAUGAUAUUCUCUCCUGUCAUUUCCAUGGGGGGAUUAUAUGGGCGGAAAUUUCUGAUGUCUUUCCUCUCGUGACCAUAGUUUUGGAGAAACAAAACACUGCUAUAUUCGGUUUGAAUUUCAGGGGGCAACUUUUUUCCGUGUUUUUGUCCUCUGUGGCCACUAUUGGGAUUAAGUGUAGAGUGCGUCAUUUGUCUUUCAUUCCAGAGGACAAAGGUAUCCUAAAUGUUACUUCUCUUAUGACCAUCCGACAAAUGCUCAAUAUGCGUCAUUUGACUUUCAGGGGGCGGCAAUUAGAAAUCUGAUUUCUCUUAACGGUUACUGACGAAGAACGCAUCACAUACGUAUACAGGCCUUAUUGCGAACCAGAAGCUUACAUAUCACCUUUCCCAAACGUCCGGCUCUUACCACGCACUAUUACGAUUUUUGUGUGACGCUGGUAAACUCUUACAUGUACCAUCCCAGGUGCUUUGCGACACAUUUAAUAUCAUGCCUAUUGAGAUAGGCAAUUAACAUCUGCGAUGUGCGUAUUGCAAUGGAUUACAGACGUCACGUCACUUAAGCGGGCCAACUAUAUAUAUCUGUGGGGCAUCUCUUGUUUUUUCCGCAUAUCUUUCCUCGGCAUCAGCUUAAAAAGAGGGGAUCUUCGGAAAGCCAGUUUUCGAACGAGAAUACGGCAGUACGGUACCAGUGAGUGACUCAUUCAGCAAUAUCAACGCAGCAAGGCAUCAGAGAGGCUUCAUUUCUACUAUGGAAACUUUUCUCAUAGUGCUGUGUCUUCUCGGCGGGACAGCUGCUCUUAGUCAAGAUCCUUGGUUGUCCGAAUCUUCCGACGACGAAUACGCUGACUACAUCUUCAACAACCUCGUUCCCAGAGCCCUGUCUGCUGUAGAAGGGGAACGAGCCGCUGGCGGUGCCUUCACCCUGGAUGGCUCCACCCCUGGAGGCGUCGCCAAGAGAGCUCGCUUCAUGAUGCACAGCUUUGGGCCUGGUCUCCGAUACCUUCUGCUGCAUCCCAGACCGAACGCCGUUAGAGGGAGGGCAGCGCUUCGUCUGCACUUCGCAAGGGGGCGUCCCGGAGCUGGAAAUCGGUCUCCAAAGUCUGGGAAAUGAUUUUGCGGACCCGAUACAGCCCUGCACAACGGAAGCAUUUUCAAUUUAUCAAAUCUUUAAGAUAUGCAGAACUUUAGAGAUACUUUUUAUUUACAAUUUCAAAACCAUAUCGGUAAAUUAGAUGACACAUGCGAAAAAAGGUGUAACUCGCUGAGGGGAUUUUUUAAGAUCAAAUUUAUCACUUGAUGAUCUUGGAAUAAAAGAAAUGUCUUUUGAAGUAAUGAUUUGUUCUCAGUGUCUUUCUUGAGACUUCCGGUCACAAUAAGUGUUUAUCAAUUUAUAAGACUACUAUUUAUCGAAAUAGGAGCUAAUGGCCAGAUGGACUUAAAAUUUCCACGUUAUUGUAGAAGAAGUAAACGUUAGCCUUUAACAUUGGGUUGCUAAGUUAUAAUACAAAGUGAGACGGAAUGUUGCGCUACAACGUCAAAUAAGCAGAUUGUCGUACACUGUAGGAUAACCAAGUUACGGUACAUUAUGAGAUGAUCAAGGUAUCCUACAACGUCAUAGAACAAAGUUGUUAUCGUUAAACGUGAAAUAACCACGUUAUCGUUUAUAACGAGAAUGACUCAUUAUCGUCCACCGUGGGAUAACCACAUCAUCACCAAGUACUGUGGGUUAACAAGGUUAUAUACACACAACGUGAAGUAAGCAUGUUAUCGUUUAACGAGAAAUAACCACGUUAUCUUACACCGUGGAAUAACUAAGUAACACACAGCACGAGAUAACCAGGUUAUCACCUAACGUUAUACUUAACGUAGAUAAUUAACGUAGAACACAGAGGCUGUGUACAUGUACUUUGUACAUACACAUUUCACAUGUGUUUUUGAGGGGCGGUGGACCUUCAAUGUAGAUGCUGCGAUUUUGGCUAUGCUGUUCUGCAUCAACUGAAGUUGGGUAUGAGUUUUGUCGUCUUCCAGCGAUUGAUCAGACACAGAGUCUCUACAGUACUAGUCUAGGAUC